UUGACCUAUUUUCUUUUGUAGCUUGUAGGUACCUAGGAGUUACCCAAUACCUAGACUUAUGCAGGAUGGGGUUCGACUUGAAACAACUUUCCCAAUUCUCGUGUUUUGCCUACCUUUCACCCCGAGGAGGGUUUAGGAUCCCGAGGAUGCCUAGUUCGUUAAAAGGGUGGAAGGAAAAUGGUUUUAUGUCGUGACUCAAGAUCUCGACCUACCUUUUAGUCCU
This 223-nucleotide long non-coding RNA is filed under the name Olea europaea (common olive). Its description in RNAcentral is "long non-coding RNA (OEUR_LNC004209)". Lineage: Eukaryota; Viridiplantae; Streptophyta; Magnoliopsida; Lamiales; Oleaceae. The record is from RNAcentral.